Molecule: RNA transcript, 3380 nt
Organism: Vidua macroura (Pin-tailed whydah)
Lineage: Eukaryota; Metazoa; Chordata; Aves; Passeriformes; Viduidae
Gene name: E3 ubiquitin-protein ligase TRIM11-like
Exons: 7
Source: RefSeq, a predicted model, not a curated record
GCACCAUCUGAUUGCCCCUUUUUCCCCCAUUUCAGGGCCAUUUCUCAUCCCAACACAGGCACUGGGGAGGGAAGGGAGGAAAAUUAAAGUGCUGCAAAAAACCCCAUUAUUGCAUGGCACCACAAGGGCGAAAUCGGUUAAAUUUUGCCCCCCUAGUUCCCCAAAUCUGACUCUGGCCCCUUACACAUGACUGCAGUGAACAAGGCAAAGCUGGGAGCAGCCUCCAGCUGGGGCAGCUUGUGCCAGGAACUGAGACCAGGAACAACCAGGGGUGGUUCAAGGGCAGGCAGCUUCACCCUGUGCGACAGCCAAUCACCAGCACUCCUUUCUCCUCGCCAGGAGGGCAGCAUGGCCACAGCAGUUGCACAAAACCCCUGUGCUGACACUGGCCAGAGCUUCAUCUCUUGCUGUUGAAGAGACAAAAACCCCUCAGGAGGCAAUGGGUGAGCCACCAGAGGCUAUGGUCAUAAAGACUUUUGGAGGACUGGAUGAGACCUGUGAGAUGAGUGAAGCCGAGCGGCGCCGCAUUGAGGCUGACUUUGAGCGGCUGCGCCGGCUGCUAGCGGAGCAGAAGCGCACCGUGCUGGGGCGGCUGGCUGAGCUGGACCACACCUUCGCAGCUACCCACGCCGAAAAAUCAUUGCGGGUGACCGAGGGGGUUGCACAGCUCCACAGACUCAUCGGGCAGCUAGAGGCCAGGUGCUUGCCCCAGGUCAGCCUUCACAAGGCAUCAAUGGCUUCCGCCCCAACCGGCAGUUGGCCAACGUGGUGGUGGCCGUGCAGGAGGUGGCUCUGCAGCUGGUGCAGGAUCUGUGCCACAGGCACCAACGACCCCUCACUCUCUUCUGUCACAGUGAUGGAGUCCUUAUCUGCACCACCUGCGCCAAGCAUUGCGCCAACUCUGCCGUGCUGCUCGAAGAGGCCGCUUGCUGCUACAGGGAGUAUAAACCCCUUUUCCCUGCAGAAGCAGUUCGAAGCUUCCCUAAAAACCCUGCAAGAGGAGGACAAGCGAUGUGCUGGGCUGACUGAGGCAGCAAAGGAGACAAGACAGGAGAUGCUGGUGGGUGGUGCUGCCAUCUGGGUGCACCAUGGGGGCCACACUGCUUCAUUCCCCCUCCAGCAUCCUCCUCCUUCAUCCCCCAGACUUGAAUCAGUGCUGAAAAGCAGAAGCUGUGAGUGAUGCUGAAAGGGCCCCGCCAGGUGCUGAGUUCCAGGAAUCACAGUUUCUUUCCCGGUUCCAUCGCCUGUGCUGGAGGUUGGAGGAACAGCAACAUGGUGAAGCUGCCGAGAUGUCAUGGAUCCAGCAAUGCCACGCAGAGCUCCAGGCCAAGUGCCAGCAACCAGAUGGUGACCUGUUACGGGAUGUCUGAACCACCUUGAACAGCUAUUGGAGCCAAGAAACAACACCAGGAACACCAGUUUUGGCCCCAAGCCCUCAAUUUUUUGGAUCAUCUUCUCCCCCUGUGGUCUUUUCCUCUGGGAUUUUUGAUUUGGAGCUAGAGAGGGUUGAUGGUUAAUCCAAAAUUUGGUUAUGAUCGGGGAAUCUUCCAUCAUAUCUUGCAGGAGUGGGAGCCUUGCCCAUGGAAGUAACGAUGUCCCAGUGGUUCUCUAGCAAUGGGAAAAGAAAAUUUGGGAAUUUCUUGGCAUGAAACACCCCAAUUUACUCCCCUCGAGGUGCACAGAGAGGAAGAUGUGUUGGAGUGCUCUCUGGAGGAAGCCUCAGAGGGAUACUGGAGAGGUGAGUCUGGCUUCAGGGACUUACUGAACCCCCAUUUGGGUUCAGUGCCUGGAGCUGAUGCUCUGGUGCAAUUUUUGGAGGUGAUAUUCCAAUGCAUAGAGGCUCAUGAACAUCCCUCUCCCUGCCAGCAGCUGUGACUCGAUCCAGUCACAGCUCACCCCCAAAUCCUGGUGUCAUUGGAUGGCCGGACUGCAGGCCACCAGGAAUCACCCCCAGCUCCUCUGCCCUCAGGAGUGGAGUGUUUUGAAUCUCUCUGCUGUGUUUUGGGUCAGCAUGACUUUGUAGGGGACUGUCAUUGCUGGGCCAUGAAGGUUUGUCCUGGUCCUGACUGGGCACUGGGGGUAGCUUGGGAAUUUGUGUCCCAGAAGGGCUGCUUCGGUCUCAGCCCCAAACAAGGGGUUUGGGCUAUGGGGCAGUGGUUGGGGCAGCUGGAGGCUCUCACCUGACUCAGCCCUAUGUCUCUGCCCCACAACCACACUGUCUGAUGCAUUGAGGUGGCUGUGGAUUACCCUGGCGGGUGGAUGGCUUUCCGUGAUGCUAAUAGUCAGACUGAAGUCUUUGCCUUUCCCGCACCCACUUUAACACUCUGGCCACUGCUCUGUCUGGGCGAGGGGCCAGCUUUGCUCACCCUCUGUCCAUGAGUCUCCCCAAAAUGCACUAUGAACCUCCCAAGUGUAAACACUUCCACCACCCCAGCAAACACUCCACUCAACAUCAAACAGCCCCACUCCUCCAACAGCCUAUUUAAUUUUCCUUAAAAUAUCUAAUUUAACAAUCAUAUUUCACCCUUUUGCUUCUCAGUGGGAGAACAGAGGUAUUUUUAAUUCCUCAGCUGUUUGUCAGUGGAAGCAUGGACCAGACCAGGGAGAACGUCCCUAAAAGAUUUUUAAAAACUCACCUUGAGGAAGAAAAUGGGCUUUGCUGGUGCUGCUAGAUGUCUCAUGAUAAGUUUUUGCAAGUGGAAACUUUUCUCCUUGGGAUUUGUAGAGAAUUUAGGGGAAGUGGGUUAAAACCAUGUUUCACGUCUCUCAGGAUCACUCAGGCUUGGGCCUUUUCAGGGCUUUGUAUUCACUGCCAGGAUGUAAGCAGGGAGAGAGGCCACAGACAGAAUUUUAUCCCCCAUUUCACUGCCUGCAAGUGAAUAGAAGGGGAACUGAAACUAAAUGAACCGAAAUCUUGAAGCAGCAGAAGGUUGUUGUUAGGACUCAACCAUGUAAUAAAGUGCUGUUAUCAGCAAGCCCAGACAGGACUGGGCAGGUCUCUGCCUCUUGCAGUCCCAGUCACUCCUUUGCUGCCAGAAUUGCUUCCCCAUCCACAUGCACUCUUCACCUUGGUGUGAGGAAGAGGAGAAACUACCAGGAAAUGCAGCAACUUUUAUCUUUGGGACCCUAAUUUUAGACAAGUGUCCUGACAAAACACAGAUCACAGCUAAACCCACAUUACAGCCCUGCUCAGUUGUAUAAUUAGUUUUUUCCCUGUUUGGUUCAUGGUGAGGUUGGUGUUUCCUUGAAAGACAAGGUCCAGUGAUGUGUAAAGUGAUGUUGGUUUGCAGCAUCCUGCUCCAACAGAUGAACUUCCAAGACUCCAUCCACUUUUCAUCUGAAAAGCUUUAUGGAUAUUUAAUUUGAAAGUAAAAAAACAA